GGCGUAGCUCAGUAGGUAGAGCAUCUGAUUUGUAAUCAGGCGGUCGGGGGUUCGAUUCCUCUCGCC
This 66-nucleotide transfer RNA is filed under the name uncultured Luminiphilus sp. It matches the Rfam family "tRNA". From Rfam's summary of the family: Transfer RNA (tRNA) molecules are approximately 80 nucleotides in length. The record is from RNAcentral. Lineage: Bacteria; Pseudomonadati; Pseudomonadota; Gammaproteobacteria; Cellvibrionales; Halieaceae.